RNAcentral lists this ribosomal RNA (305 nucleotides) under Apochauliodes cervulus. RNAcentral's name for it is "partial small subunit ribosomal RNA". Lineage: Eukaryota; Metazoa; Arthropoda; Insecta; Megaloptera; Corydalidae. The record is from RNAcentral.
UAAUUUUAUGAAGCUAUAAAAUUUUUUUUUAAACUAGGAUUAGAUACCCUAUUAUUUAAAAUUUAAAUUAAUGAUACUAAGGUAGUAAGAGUUACAUUCUUGAAACUUAAAAAAUUUGGCGGUAUUUUAGUCUAUUUAGAGGAACCUGUUCCGUAAUUGAUAUGCCACAAUAAAUUUUACUAAUUUUAUAUAGUUUGUAUAUCGUCGUUAUCAGAAUAUUUUGUAAGAAUUUAAAUAUUCAUAAAUUUUAAAUAAAAUUUAUUUCAGAUCAAGGUGCAGCUUAUAAAUUAGAGGUAAUGGGUUAC